GAUGAACGCUGGCGGCGUGCCUAACACAUGCAAGUCGAGCGAACCCUUCGGGGUGAGCGGCGGACGGGUGAGUAACGCGUGGGUAACCUGCCCUGUACACACGGAUAACAUACCGAAAGGUAUGCUAAUACGAGAUAAUAUAUUUUAAUCGCAUGGUUAAGAUAUCAAAGCUCCGGCGGUACAGGAUGGACCCGCGUCUGAUUAGCUAGUUGGUGAGGUAAUGGCUCACCAAGGCGACGAUCAGUAGCCGACCUGAGAGGGUGAUCGGCCACACUGGAACUGAGACACGGUCCAGACUCCUACGGGAGGCAGCAGUGGGGAAUAUUGCACAAUGGGCGAAAGCCUGAUGCAGCAACGCCGCGUGAGCGAUGAAGGCCUUCGGGUCGUAAAGCUCUGUCCUCAAGGAAGAUAAUGACGGUACUUGAGGAGGAAGCCCCGGCUAACUACGUGCCAGCCGCCGCAGUAA
RNAcentral lists this ribosomal RNA (466 nucleotides) under uncultured bacterium. RNAcentral's name for it is "partial 16S ribosomal RNA". It matches the Rfam family "Bacterial small subunit ribosomal RNA", at positions 28 to 523 of the family's 1533-position model. The record is from RNAcentral.